Molecule: ribosomal RNA, 567 nt
Filed under: Fusarium oxysporum
Lineage: Eukaryota; Fungi; Ascomycota; Sordariomycetes; Hypocreales; Nectriaceae
Description: eukaryotic LSU rRNA
Rfam family: 5.8S ribosomal RNA (bases 202-355)
Source: RNAcentral
GAAGGUGAAGUCGUAACAAGGUCUCCGUUGGUGAACCAGCGGAGGGAUCAUUACCGAGUUUACAACUCCCAAACCCCUGUGAACAUACCACUUGUUGCCUCGGCGGAUCAGCCCGCUCCCGGUAAAACGGGACGGCCCGCCAGAGGACCCCUAAACUCUGUUUCUAUAUGUAACUUCUGAGUAAAACCAUAAAUAAAUCAAAACUUUCAACAACGGAUCUCUUGGUUCUGGCAUCGAUGAAGAACGCAGCAAAAUGCGAUAAGUAAUGUGAAUUGCAGAAUUCAGUGAAUCAUCGAAUCUUUGAACGCACAUUGCGCCCGCCAGUAUUCUGGCGGGCAUGCCUGUUCGAGCGUCAUUUCAACCCUCAAGCACAGCUUGGUGUUGGGACUCGCGUUAAUUCGCGUUCCUCAAAUUGAUUGGCGGUCACGUCGAGCUUCCAUAGCGUAGUAGUAAAACCCUCGUUACUGGUAAUCGUCGCGGCCACGCCGUUAAACCCCAACUUCUGAAUGUUGACCUCGGAUCAGGUAGGAAUACCCGCUGAACUUAAGCAUAUCAAUAAGCGGAGGA